CUCAAUCGCUGAGUCCUUAAUUGGAGCGGAGGAACCACUUUUGUAGAGACUAAUCUACUUGGGGUGAAUCCUUUAAAGAAAAAAGGAAGGGUUAUUCUUGACCCUAAUCCGACAGCUAACUUCGUAAGCGUUAAGAAAGGA
This 141-nucleotide small RNA is filed under the name uncultured Cytobacillus sp. Its description in RNAcentral is "ydaO/yuaA leader". It matches the Rfam family "c-di-AMP riboswitch aptamer (ydaO/yuaA leader)". Rfam says of the family: This family represents a conserved RNA structure found upstream of the ydaO and yuaA genes in Bacillus subtilis and related genes in other bacteria. The ydaO/yuaA element is thought to act as a genetic "off" switch for the ydaO and yuaA genes in its native state. It is believed that the element may be triggered during osmotic shock leading to activation of ydaO, a predicted amino acid transporter gene, and members of the yuaA-yubG operon which code for KtrA and KtrB K+ transporters. Lineage: Bacteria; Bacillati; Bacillota; Bacilli; Caryophanales; Bacillaceae. The record is from RNAcentral.